AUGGAUGGGCAUGGCGGACAGAACAUGUCACACAAGGGCAAGCCGUUCACCUUAGGAAAGAAGAGAAGCCUUCCAAGUGGGAGGGCACCUGGCCAUUCUCUCAACAAACAGCAUCAGUGUCGAGACUGGAACUUUCCUCACCGAAAGAGGCAAGCCGAGGUAGGAGAUCGAGAAUGGAACGACAGGGCAAGACUGGAUGGUUCUCGCGCAAUCCUCGGGUGUGUAGCAGAUCGGAGUGACAUAGCUUUUUCGAAGUUGGUGGACAUGCCAGAGGCCGUAGCGAAGCAUUGUAGAAUCGGGCACACCGCCAACAUGCCAGACUCAGAUGGGUGGCAAAAAAAUCAAAAUUCGUCUGUGAAAAGUGUGAUGCUGGAAGAAGCAGGUCUUCUCGUGAGCCUCUGUAGCACACCGCACCGAACCACCUAUUGCACCAUGGAGUUGAGUGUGUCAAUGACGAGGGAAAAUAGCAAGGGUGAGAGGGGGCACCCUGGCAUAGGCCACAUGUUAUCUAGGGGGGGUCUAGCAUUGCCAUUUAUGAGCACGCGAGUGGAGGAGGUGGACAGAAGAUUUGAUACCCAUGCUCGCCAACACUUGCCAAAACCAAGGUGUCGCGGGGCCUCGAGGAGGAAGGGCUAG
This 636-nucleotide ribosomal RNA is filed under the name Triticum aestivum (bread wheat). RNAcentral describes it as "partial small subunit ribosomal RNA". Lineage: Eukaryota; Viridiplantae; Streptophyta; Magnoliopsida; Poales; Poaceae. The record is from RNAcentral.